Nymphalis io (European peacock) is the source of this 3942-nucleotide RNA transcript. RefSeq lists it as uncharacterized. The transcript has 6 exons. NCBI's taxonomy places the organism in Eukaryota, Metazoa, Arthropoda, Insecta, Lepidoptera, Nymphalidae. The record is from RefSeq and is a predicted model, not a curated record.
CUAGGUCGCUACGGCUCCCGUUAGUUAAGCGAGAGAUCUACUCUAGGGUGGACGUUAUACAGGUUUCACUUGAAAUCGAGCGUGUUGAAGUUUCAAGCUGGAGUUUCAAGUUCAUGAAGACAAAGUUUUAGUGAUAAAUUUACCGAUAUAACAAUCAAUUGCUUAAAUUUACGGGAUAUUUAAACAUUUUUGGAACCAUGUUCUUUUUUCUGCUUACAACUGUUUUGAUUGCAAAUGGUGGCGGAGCACAAGUAAAUGAUGACAGCUGCGAUCCGAGCGAGUUGAAGACAUGCGUGGAUAUGACACCGCGCACGCCCGUGGGAUUGCCUCGGACAAGAGAGGAAUUAGACGCUCAUUGCCAGGCAUAUCAAACGGGCAUGGCGUGUAUGGAUAUAUGGAUUAAGCGGUGUCUACCAACUGACGGUCAGAAAUUGGUACAGCAACAAAUAGGUGGCGCGCGAGCACUAAUGCGAUUCUUGUGUACCAAUGAAACAGCACUACGGAGAGACUUUCUAAAGGAGCCAACAUGCUGGGCGUUAGUGUCACCUGAUUGGUCACAAUGUGUUGAUGAGCUGCAACUUGCUGUCCGUGAUAUCUCUGAGCGCUCUAACCACUUAGUCUACUUCAACAAGAACACUGAGCUAUGCUGUGCUCGUGAUGCAUUCGUUGGAUGCGUAGCAAUGGCUGGACGUGCUUGUUCAGCUCAAGCAGGAAACCUACUGCGUCGUAUGGCGUGGGUGCUCGCGCAAGACGUGGCUGCAUGCAGCGCUCAGCCGCGCGCGCACUGUUCUGCAUCACUGCCACAAAUUGCUGCUCCAAUUCUCACUGCACUAUCUGGUGCAUUGCUUUACCCCCCAAGACUUUAAGAACAUAAUUUAAUUCAUGUAAAUAUAUAUACGUAAAGAUGUUUCCUAGGACAUGUUCUUAAAGCGUUCUUAUGACCUUGAGUUGAUUUUAAAUAGUUGAAAUAAAAUCUAAUUGUAAAGCAUUUCAGUUCAGUACAAUUAAUAUGAUGAUUGUAAAAAUAUUGAAAUAUUAUUAAAAAAGUAGGCCGUUUUAACUCUGUUUUAUUAGUAGCUUUUGAAAUUAUAACUUUGUAUUUAUAAAUUCGAUGCUUGGAUUGAAAAUUGAAUUAAAUAUAAAUGUAUAUUUUCCUGUAAUUUAUCUAGAUUUUUUUUCCAUUUCACAACUCUUAAUGUAUAAAAAACAAUUUAUAUAAUAAUUAUAUAUAAUUAUAUUAUAUGAAUAAUUUAUAUAAUUAUUAUAUAAUUUAUUCAAAUGUUAAUAGCUUAGUAAGAUAGAUUAUUAUAAUAAUGUUUGUUAAAGAAUAUUUAUUUUAUACUAAAUGAAGGGGCUUAACUGCAAAGCAUUUUUUUUUUUUCAUUUUUAGCUUUACGUUAUAAUUAUUCAAAAUAUAAUUAAAACAUUAAAGCAAAUUAAAAUAAUGUUCUGUUAUAAUUUAAUAUAAAUAAUUAAGUUUAAAAGUUUCCAAACAAAACGAAAUAUUAAUGAACAAGAAUUCGACGGGUGGUAGAUAGAUACUGUCUUUCACGUCGAAGGUUGUGGGUUCGAUUCCCACCCAGGACAGAUAUUUGUGUGCAUGAACAUGUCUGUUUGUUCUAAGUCAGGGUGUAAUUAUCUAUAUAAGUUUGUAAAUACACAAAAGAAAAAUAGUAUAUGUAGUAUAUCAGUUGUCUGGUUUCCAUAGUACAAGCUCUGUACAAGCUUAAUUUGGGAUCAGAUGGCCGUGUGUGGAAAAUGUCCCAGGAUAUUAUUAUUAUAAUGAAUUCCAAAUAACUACCUGCACUUCUAAACAAAGUUGACGAUGUGUAGGAUCUAUAUUUUUUGUUUAUUAGUCAUUGAGUUCCAUAUUCCUUUAAAAAAGAAUAAUCAAUGUGAUAUCUAUUUAUAUCAAAUAUUUAUAUAACUACUUCAAAUGUCUAAUUAUUUAUUAACAACUUUUAGUUAUAACCAAAUGUUUUUUAUGCAUAUAAUGAUUAUGAAACUGUAUGAUAAUGAUGUAUUAUAUCUGAAUGGGAACUAUAUCAAAAAUUGUAUUUCUACAAAAGCUUAAUGCAACAUUACAAAAUUAUUUAUCUUCAUAUGUUUUACCUCCAAUUAUUAAGUUCUUAAUAAAAAAUAAGCCAUUUUAUUUAAUAAAAAUAUCUAUUUAAAAGAAAACUGGAAAGAACCCAAUUGUGUUUUUAGCAGCAAAUACAAUAUGUAUUACUUUUUGAUGUAAUGACUCAUAUAUAUACAGUAACAGCCUGUAAAUGUCCCACUGCUGGGCUAAGGCCUCCUCUCCCUUUUUUUUUUUUUUUGAGGAGAAGGUUUGGAGCUUAUUCCACCACGCUGCUCCAAUGCGGGUUGGUAGAAUACACAUGUGGCAGAAUUUCGAUGAAAUUAGACACAUGCAGGUUUCCUCACGAUGUUUUCCUUCACCGAAAAGCACGAGAUGAAUUUUAAACAGAAAUUAAGCACAUGUAAAUUCAGAGGUGCUUGCCCGGGUUUGAACCCACGUUCAUCGGUUAAGAUUCACGCGUUCUUACCACUGGGCCAUCUCGACUUUUUAUAUAUAUAUAUAUAAUUAACCAUAACUGCAAAGCAAAAAUCAAGUAAAAAUUGGCAUUCAUUGUUAAGUAUCUAAGAAAUAUAAAUAAAUUUAUGUGCAAAUUUGAUAAUAAUAAUAUUUAUCUAAAUAUUAAAUAUAUGCAUUUUACAUUAAAAUAUCGGAACUUCAUGACUUAUAUAAUCCUUAGUAAUUACUAUAAUUUUAAUAAUAUAAUAUGUUUAUAGUACAUUUAAUAAUAUUACUUUAGGAGUAUUUAGUGCUUUAAACAGGUAUUGGUAAUAAGGUUAUUGAUCAUAUAUUUUUUCUACUUCAGUCAUCCAGUCAUCCAUUAACAGCAAGUUAAUACAAUACUAUGUAGUUGAUACAACAAUGUAGUAUAAAUAAUAAUUUAUUAUAAAUAGUUUGACUUGCAAAAUUUUCAAGAUUAUAUAUCAUUUUAAAGUUAGCGUCUUAAGAUAUGAGAUAUGUUACAAAUCAAAUAAGUUAAUUUAUAAAUGUAAGACAAUAUUUUUACUGCUAUUUAAAUUUUAAAUUGGAAGUUGAAAUUUGAAUUUGCUUGUAUUUAAUGUUUUAUAAUUGUAGUCUUUAUACCUGUAAUGGUAUCUUCAUAUUUCUUUAUACAAUAGUGAUCUUUGAUAAUAUUAAUGAUGUGCAAAUAUUUAAUAUUUUGUGUUACCAAGUUAAUAAACUUAGAAAGUGAGUUAGGUAAACUUUCUAGUCUAUUUUUGUUGUUACUUCUUGGCUUUAUGAUACAAAGAUUUUGGCUUAAGAAUUAUGCGCCAAAUUUAAGAGUGUAUGGCAAUAUUAUCAGAAAAGACUAAAUGUCAAUAAAAAUAUAUUUUCAAAUUCAUAUAUAAAUUAUAUUUUACUACACUACACUUACUAUUUUGUAUACAAUGAUAUAAAAAAAAACUUUAACCAUAAAAAUGUUUAACAAUGUAAAGUUAUACUUUAAAGUGUUAUAUUUGGUGAUAAAAAUAAAAAAUUCGAAAAAAAAGUGUUUAUAUUUAAUUAUUUCGAAAAAAAAUAAUUUUUAUCUCUCAUUUCAAUAUUGUUUUAUUUGACAUAUUGGUGUGUAUGGUAUUGACAAUAUCUACAUAAUAAUGCUGCUUUAGUGUACUUUGAAAUAUUAUGUUAUGCAAUAUGUUAUUCAAUAUCUAAUUCUGAAUAAAGCAAACUGUUCUGCGAUCCAAUAGGCUGUGCUUAUCUGUAUAUAUCAUUUUAUAAGUUUUUGUUUUGUGUUAAGAUCUUAAUUUUGUGAAUUAAUAUUUUAAUGAUAAUAUUGUUUUACUAGUUUUUAUGUCUGUAAAUGUUAUUUUUUUAAAAAUCAAAUUGUUUAUGAAUUCAAAUAAAUUGUAGAAUUAUUUAAA